Molecule: ribosomal RNA, 274 nt
Filed under: uncultured bacterium
Lineage: Bacteria
Description: partial 16S ribosomal RNA
Rfam family: Bacterial small subunit ribosomal RNA
Source: RNAcentral
AUACGAAGGGGGCUAGCGUUGUUCGGAAUUACUGGGCGUAAAGCGCGCGUAGGCGGACUGAUCAGUUGGGGGUGAAAUCCCAGGGCUUAACCCUGGAACUGCCUCCAAUACUGUCAGUCUUGAGUUCGGGAGAGGUGAGUGGAAUUCCUAGUGUAGAGGUGAAAUUCGUAGAUAUUAGGAAGAACACCAGUGGCGAAGGCGGCUCACUGGCCCGAUACUGACGCUGAGGCGCGAAAGCGUGGGGAGCAAACAGGAGUAGAAACCCCAGUAGUCC